Molecule: small RNA, 793 nt
Filed under: Pongo abelii (Sumatran orangutan)
Lineage: Eukaryota; Metazoa; Chordata; Mammalia; Primates; Hominidae
Description: retained intron
Source: RNAcentral
GGACCCCGGCGGUGUAGUUGAAGAGUGUGGUGGGGGGCGGGGAGCUGAGGGAUGGACGGGGGCCACGUGGGAGGGGGGACAGGCUUGGGGGGCCGGGCGGAUGAAACACCCCACCGGUCCCCUCCUCUGAUCUGCCCCAAGGCCCAUGCCCACGCUCCCGCCACCUUGAUGCUCAUGGCUUCGUCACCACCUCCGCCGUGGAUGGGAUGGGCGCUGCGGCCACGGCCCGCCCGGCCGCGCUCGAGGCGCUCCGCAACCUUGCCCCAGCCCACUCCCCCUCUCACCCUACCACAGAGCAUGGUAAAUACCAAGCCCGAGAAGACGGAGGAGGACUCAGAGGAGGUGAGGGAGCAGAAACACAAGACCUUCGUGGAAAAAUACGAGAAACAGAUCAAGCACUUUGGCAUGCUCCGCCGCUGGGAUGACAGCCAAAAGUACCUGUCAGACAACGUCCACCUGGUGUGCGAGGAGACGGCCAAUUACCUGGUCAUUUGGUGCAUUGACCUAGAGGUGGAGGAGAAAUGUGCACUCAUGGAGCAGGUGGCCCACCAGACAAUCGUCAUGCAAUUUAUCCUAGAGCUGGCCAAGAGCCUGAAGGUGGACCCCCGGGCCUGCUUCCGGCAGUUCUUCACUAAGAUUAAGACAGCCGAUCGCCAGUACAUGGAGGGCUUCAACGAUGAGCUGGAAGCCUUCAAGGAGCGUGUGCGGGGCCGCGCCAAGCUGCGCAUCGAGAAGGCCAUGAAAGAGUACGAGGAGGAGGAGCGCAAGAAGCGGCUCGGCCCUGGCGGCCUGG